Molecule: ribosomal RNA, 253 nt
Filed under: uncultured bacterium
Lineage: Bacteria
Description: partial 16S ribosomal RNA
Rfam family: Bacterial small subunit ribosomal RNA
Source: RNAcentral
UACGUAGGGGGCAAGCGUUAUCCGGAUUUACUGGGUGUAAAGGGAGCGCAGACGGCAUGGCAAGUCAGAUGUGAAAGCCCGGGGCUCAACCCCGGGACUGCAUUUGAAACUGUCAGGCUGGAGUGCAGGAGAGGUAAGCGGAAUUCCUAGUGUAGCGGUGAAAUGCGUAGAUAUUAGGAGGAACACCAGUGGCGAAGGCGGCUUACUGGACUGUAACUGACGUUGAGGCUCGAAAGCGUGGGGAGCAAACAGG